GUCUCUGUAGUAUACUUAAUUACUCUGGUCUUGUAAACCAGCAAAGGGGACUUAAACUCCCCCAAAGACC
RNAcentral lists this transfer RNA (70 nucleotides) under Saccopteryx leptura (lesser sac-winged bat). RNAcentral's name for it is "tRNA-Thr". The record is from RNAcentral. Lineage: Eukaryota; Metazoa; Chordata; Mammalia; Chiroptera; Emballonuridae.